This 68-nucleotide transfer RNA is filed under the name Architeuthis dux (giant squid). Its description in RNAcentral is "tRNA-Leu". Lineage: Eukaryota; Metazoa; Mollusca; Cephalopoda; Oegopsida; Architeuthidae. The record is from RNAcentral.
ACAUGGUUGGCAGAAUAAUGUGAAUAAUUUAGGAUUAUUUUAUGAGAUUGUUAUAAUCUUACCUUGUA